CCUACGGGAGGCAGCAGUAAGGAAUAUUGGUCAAUGGAGGCAACUCUGAACCAGCCAUGCCGCGUGCAGGAAGACUGCCCUAUGGGUUGUAAACUGCUUUUGUCCGGGAAUAAACCUGUCUACGUGUAGGCAGCUGAAUGUACCGGAAGAAUAAGGAUCGGCUAACUCCGUGCCAGCAGCCGCGGUAAU
Molecule: ribosomal RNA, 189 nt
Filed under: uncultured bacterium
Lineage: Bacteria
Description: partial 16S ribosomal RNA
Rfam family: Bacterial small subunit ribosomal RNA
Source: RNAcentral